CUCCUGGCUGUGCAUCUGACUGACAUUACCUCAUCACUUUCUGCAGUGGCUCUGUGAGGUCCUUCCUGUCCCGUCGCCUGUGUCCAGGAAAACCUCACCAGCAGUUCUGUUGGUUUCCACAGGUCAUGAAAAUGGCUGCGUGGACUUUGACCAAGCUUGAUUUUGACCUUUUUCUGGUUGAAUCAAGAUCAAUGUUGGAGACAAGCGGCUGGGAAGGUCAUUCGGAAGUAGCUGUGCAGAGAUCUCCCUCCCGGGAAGCAGUGUUCUAGUAAGGGUCUAUGGUCUUGGAGAAGACAUUCCCGUCAGUCUGAGAAGUUUCUUUGCAAAACACAGGACUGGUAGAGCUAGCAGUGUUUACUAGUAGCAGUGUGAAGAAGACUGGAGGGUCUUCUUGGGACUGAGAAUUCUAGGUGUUGAAUCUUGUAACUGAAAAGGCCAGCCACCUGCUUCAGCUGGAAACAGAAUUAUGUCCACUAAGAGAUGGGAAACUGACAACUCUUCA
Molecule: long non-coding RNA, 502 nt
Organism: Heterocephalus glaber (naked mole-rat)
Lineage: Eukaryota; Metazoa; Chordata; Mammalia; Rodentia; Bathyergidae
Source: Ensembl